CCAUCAAAACUUUUUAGCUAGAGUAUGAUAGAGGAAAGUGGAAUUUCUAGUGUAGAGGUGAAAUUCGUAGAUAUUAGAAAGAACACCAAAAGCGAAGGCAACUUUCUGGAUCAUUACUGACACUGAGGAACGAAAGCAUGGGUAGCGAAGAGGAUUAGAUACCCUCGUAGUCCAUGCCGUAAACGAUGUGUGUUAGACGUUGGAAAUUAAUUUUUAGUGUCGCAGCGAAAGCAAUAAACACACCGCCUGGGGAGUACGACCGCAAGGUUAAACCUCAAAUGAAUUGACGGGGACCCGCACAAGUAGUGGAGCAUGUGGUUUAAUUCGAAGAUACGCGCAGAACCUUACCAACACUUGACAUGUUCGUCGCGACUCUAAGAGAUUAGAGUUUUCGGUUCGGCCGGACGAAACACAGGUGCUGCAUGGCUGUCGUCAGCUCGUGUCGUGAGAUGUUGGGUUAAGUCCCGCAACGAGCGCAACCCUCACUUUUAGUUGCCAUCAUUUAGUUGGGCACUCUGAAAGAACUGCCAGUGAUAAGCUGGAGGAAGGUGGGGAUGACGUCAAGUCCUCAUGGCCCUUACGUGUUGGGCUACACACGUGCUACAAUGGCAUUUACAAUAGGAAGCAAGAUGGUGACGUCAAGCAAAUCCUAAAAAGAUGCCUCAGUUCGGAUUGUACUCUGCAACUCGAGUACAUGAAGCUGGAAUUACUAGUAAUCGCGGAUCAGCGCGCCGCGGUGAAUACGUUCCCGGGUCUUGUACACACCGCCCGUCACACCAUGGGAGUUGGUUCUACCUUAAGGCAAGGUUUAAAACCCUUGACCACGGUAUAGUCAGCGACUGGGGUGAAGUCGUAACAAGGUAACC
Molecule: ribosomal RNA, 866 nt
Filed under: uncultured Pelagibacterales bacterium
Lineage: Bacteria; Pseudomonadati; Pseudomonadota; Alphaproteobacteria; Candidatus Pelagibacterales
Description: bacterial SSU rRNA
Rfam family: Bacterial small subunit ribosomal RNA
Source: RNAcentral